Non-coding RNA from Petromyzon marinus (sea lamprey), 3690 nucleotides. NCBI's taxonomy places the organism in Eukaryota, Metazoa, Chordata, Hyperoartia, Petromyzontiformes, Petromyzontidae. The record is from RefSeq and is a predicted model, not a curated record.
AAUGCAUAUAUUAUAGUAUGUUUUUUGUUUGCAUUUUGACUGCAGGUAUUGUGGUUAAUGCAGACAUGAAUCCUCGUAAAAAGGUUUCAGUUUUGUUGCCAGAAAAAAGGGGAAAAACCCUAUUAAUACACCAUCACUUUGUUAAUCAACAUUUUUUCAUCUGCUGAUCCUGAGCCAGUGAUGGAAAUUCCACAUUCCUGUGGCGGGGUCAAAUAUAUCAACAUAAAAAUGUCAUUUAGACACUACCACCGAAUCGUGCCGCCUAACAAAGCGGUAUCCGUGUUACUGACCCCAGAGGAUGGUGACGGAAUGCGAUGGCUCUGUCCAGGAUUUGAGCUUGUGUGUCAUUGUCGGGAGUUAUUCUGCCAACUGAGCUGUGUCCCAGCCAAAAGCAAUGUUUAUGGUCACAUUUGACAGCAAAUACUACUACAGUUAUUAAUGAUGAUGAUACUAGAACGGGUGGUAAUCGUAAAGUGGCUUUGCAAGCAGCACCCUGAAUGUACAUGCCCACCUCGUUACACUGUCAUGUCGUAAAUACGACCCUGUUCUUUUAAGUGUGUUGUUAUUUUUAUAUUUAGAGGAUGGUUUAAAUUGUUAGUCAAGAUCAAUGUGAACUGUUAAACUUGUUUGUGCAUUUUCAGUCGGUCAACUCUUUGUUAGAUGUAUUUAAAGAUAUCAGACAAUGUAAAUAAAAUAUGGUACAGUGGUUGUCCUAUGUAGACUGGCCACCGCCAUAGGAAUGUGGAAUUACUACCACUGGCUCAGGGCUGCCAAUGGAGAUAAUUUUCAGCAAUUUUGGCUUUAACUUGAAGUACAGUAUAUAUAUUUUAUUGAAUAUAUUGAUUUGAAUAUUGUUUUGAUUCUUAGGAUGAAAAAGGAAAGGAUGCUAUGAAGCUCCUGAUCGAUUGCCUUGGUGCAAACUCGCCAGGUGUGGCGAAAUCUGAUUUGCUGUUCGGACAUGCAGGUAGAGACUUAAAUCUCAGCUUCACUGAUUUGAUUGGUUACCUUGUUCUUCAGACAACGCUUUUUGACCGAAGCCAAUUUGUUGGGUUCAGGUCUCACCAGUGCUGGUGGUAUUUAGCUGCCUUGGGUUGGGUGAAGGUUUAGAACCUGAGAUUUGAAAUGAGCAAGGAUUUAAUACCUGGAUGGAGUAAGGCCCCUCUCUUCUUUAAAAGAGUGAGCUUUUUAAUUUUUUUGUAAUUUAAAUGUGUUUGAUCCAUAAUUCUGGUUGUAAUUUUUUUUUAUAUAAUUAAAAUGUAAGGUAGUUUUUAAAAAAAAUAUUAAACGUGGUUUCUUUAUGACAAAGCAUGUGGUUAUUUGAGGAAGUAGAUACAAUAGGUGACGAUUUACGGAAGGAGUUUGAUAUGUGUGAGACAGAGGUGAUCUUGCAGUAUUGUGAAAUAUACUCAAGGGAAGGUGAUACAGGUUUAAGGUGUUUGUAAGUUGCAAGAUGGUUGGUGGUGGGAGACAUUUCGAUUGUACUCAGAAAGGGAAUUGUGUUGAGAGAAACCGUAACGAUGGCUGAAUACUGCUGUAUUGAAGAGUUGUGGGCGACCGGGCAUGUUAAGUUGCCCUCCACGGUUAUAAGCAGUUGGUACGUUAUAACAAAAUCAGUGCUGUGAAUUAGGCAGCAAGAUUUGUCACUGCUCUCAGUUAUAGCUGAGAUGCACGUUAUCACAUUUGUGUAAUAUAAAAGUGAUGUCUUUAAACGAUACAUGAGAGAAUUGGAAUUCAAAUGAGAGAUAUACACACAAGUCUACUGUUUAUAAACGGAGGGAGCUGGAACUCAGAAUUUAUCUGCGUGGGUGGACACCAAACGGCCCUGGUGGUGGUGCCUCCGCACCCCCCAAACUGCACGCGUCCCUGGCCACAGCGUGGCAGCAGCAGCGGCGGCCUCGCUCGAUACGCCGCCUACCCGCUAAGCCAAGACUGUGAAACCAGUAGUAGUACAUUUACAUAGGCCAAAGGAUGUGCAAUAUGUUUGAAUCAAAGGCUAUUAUUGAUGUACUGCCCAAAUCCGGUCCUUCGGCUUCUCGCGCUUGUGUGAGUCUUCUCUGCUUUCUUUAACUUAUUGUUCAUUCUUUAUCGACUGCAUUCGCGCCAGAUGUACCAGAUGUCGUCGUCGCCCUUCACUGCGAGUCUUUAAAUCGCUUCCUCCCCCCUGCUGCUGCCGCAUGGAAUGUAGCCCCGUGUCAUCUCUUGUUGGCUGGCUGGAGCUACUGAUGAUGGACAAUGAAGUGUUAUGUGGCCCCGUGUCAUCUCUUGUUGGCUGGCUGGAGGUACUGAUGAUGGACAAUGAAGUGUUAUGCUGAAGACUUGUAACGCAUUGCUCUGCUUCUUGUCGAUGGGGGUUGAAAGCCAUCCAUCCCUCUGAACGGACAAUGCCUGACGACGAUAAUGUAUUGUCUAAAAUCCAGGGGUGGAUUCGUUAGCUAAUGGGAGUGGAGUUUAUCUUAUGACCUUGGAUAACCAUGGUAGGAUGGGAGUGAAACUGAGACGCUGGCACUUAUACAUUGCCACGAGCUAUGAUGCAUGUUUGCUGUUUGCAGACAGAGCUAUGCGAUGGUACCGAGCGGAGGACUGGCAAUAAUAAUAAGAGUACAGUUGUAUUGCGCUUAUAUUUUUUACAAAUGCUGCAUUGUAGAUUCUGGAUCGUUGUACUCAUGGAGAUUAAUCAGGGUAUUUUAACAUUGAUGAUUCUAUAACCGGUUUACGGAUGACAUCACGAAUAAAAAUGCAUGUUUGAGCAAGUACUAUGGUGUCAUUUCACGCAAAAUAGAAACUCGAGUUGUUUACAUUAAAAGUGUAAAUCUGUGGAAGGUGAAACACGUGGCGCUGUUGCUGAUGUUAUCAACAUGUGUGCAGCAAAUCGUGUUUAUGGGCAUGUGGUAAUGAUUGAGAAGGAUUCCUCGAUAUGGGUGCUCAAAUACGUGCCUGCUACCGGCGGUGAUGUUUUAUUAUGGCGAUUCAUAAUGGCCACAUCAGGGCACCGAAAGCACGUUGAGAUCCCGAUUUAAAAUGUGGGCCUCAGUUGCCCGUGAUCAGACUGGGUUCUCGAUUGCAGAGAGUUGGUGUUGGUCUAAGCCUGGUCACUGACGACACAAAAAAGUCCCAGAAUAAUAAUAGUUGUUUCACGACAUUGUGAAUAUUCCAGCUGAGGAAUAGAGAACUAAUGUAGGUGCAUUACCAUUUGAUGAAUGCUGUCUGCAGGACCACCUUUUGUGGAUCAUAAGCCAAAGUCAUUUACCAUUGUCAUCUGGUAGGCCAUUCUCUAACACAAGGUGAGGUGUAAUGCUCGAUCCGAGAAUUCUAAUGAAUUCCUUUGCCUUGUGACCUGAUGCUGAUAGCACAAUCGAAUAUAAUUGGAACAGGAUCGGUAUUUAAAGAGUUUUGCCAGGCAAUUACUGGUGUUCAACUAAUCGCGUUGUCAUAAAAAGCAUAUAUUUCCACUUUCGCGUUUUGCCAUUUGGAUCGUUUUCUAAGCAGUAUCAUAGUUAUUUGAUUGAUAGAAUCAGACUGUGCCAGCAUAGGACUAACAAAAGCUUUGUUCUGUUCGUCGCAUCGCCUCCCUCAUUUACAAGCAAAAAUCCGUUUAAUUUUAAGUUUGUCAGUGUCGUUUUCUGUUGCGUUACAUUUCAAAUUUAACAUCAGAAUUUCUGAAAUGCUCAAAUAAACAGAACAAUCAUCAGA